Pangasianodon hypophthalmus (striped catfish) is the source of this 10194-nucleotide long non-coding RNA. RefSeq lists it as uncharacterized. The record is from RefSeq and is a predicted model, not a curated record. Lineage: Eukaryota; Metazoa; Chordata; Actinopteri; Siluriformes; Pangasiidae. The transcript is spliced from 2 exons.
UUUAGGUUUAUGAAAAAAUUUAUUUGUGGUUAAUUAGCUUACUCUCCUAAUCUCACAAUCUAAACUUUAAUUUAAGUAUAUGUAUUCAAAGAAAAUAAAAAGAAGAUUUUUUUGACCACAAUUAUCUGGCUGGGUGCUCUGCACUGGAUCACAUCGUGUUCAACUUUCUGAGAAAUAAAGAUAGAGUGAAAAGGCCAUGCAGGAGUGUCUAUAACAACGACUGAUGAAAGGAACAUGUAAACACAACCAAGGAGUCUGUCACAGACCUCCGUUUGUACAAACAGUUUUCCCCAGGCUUCUGGUACACUUGCUUUGAUCACAUUACCUCAACAAAUAUUUUCCAUCAUGCUCUCAAUAUAAUUACACAUUAUUUAUAAUAGUAAGAGUAUGAUGUAGUACUUCAAGGGUAAGUAUAUAGUACUUCAAUCAGUAUAUUAAUUAAAAACAGUACUGUGUAACAACAAAUAGUUUCCUAAUGAUUUGAAUGCUUAUAUUUCUUAUAAUUACUUAGAAGUAUGUUGUGUCUGUAUCUGCUAUUAAUCAAAAUUCCUUUAGUCCAUUUAAUAUUCCAAGAAAGCAUGCAAACAAAUAAAAAUAAAAGCAAACCAAUAGAGGGAUAAGUUAUUUCACCUGUGUUCUAUCAGUCCCAGGCAAGUACAAUAAGUCAGUGGACCCUCAUGUGACCUGUAUAGCAGUGUAGUAAUACAGGCCUAUGCUUGUUGUGUCAACAACAACCAGCUUGCUUGGUGCUUUCAGAUGUGAUAUAUGACACAGCUAAGACCCCAAAACCAGUCUCUCUACCCCCUGCCCUCUCUUUCAGUUUGUGUUCAAAAUAUUACACUGCUUAUGAGGGUGGCUGAAACACACUUUACUAUUGCUUUUCACAAAAGCACAGAACUAAUUUCUAAGGUCAAGCCUUUUUUCCUUGACUUGCCCUUUUUAAAAUGCAGCUCUGACUCCUUGUUCAAGGGCAGUACAGGUUUUUUUUUUGUUUUGUGUGUGUGUGUGUGUGUGUGUGUGUGUUUAAACAGCCUAAGGAAAUAUAAAUAAAUACUUCUGUCAGGGCAUGCAGUUGACAUGUUACAGUAGGCUACCAUGUAUGUAUAGCUUCCUGUGGUUUAUCUUCUCUGUACGGAGAGAGAGAUUAGAUCAAUCUGCAAAAUUCGUAUAUUGAUGCAAUGAUGUGCAACUACUCUGCAGUAAUGUUUUCUGUAAAAAAAAAAAAAAAAUGGCUAAAACAGUAAGGUGCUGCGUGAAUGAAAUGGAAAAAGAGUUGAUGGAAGGAUGCAGGUUGCUGCUGAGGUCACAGAGUGCAUAAAGUGAAGGCCGUAGAGUACAGCUGAGAGAGACUCGCCCUCUUAUUGGUCAGCUCGGACAGAAAAGGGGCGGGUCCAAGCGCGUGAAUCCGCCUAGAAAAAGUGGGGACAGAGACAGUGUCCAGAGUGGGAGGGUGAUGUCUGUCUUGUCCUCAGCUACAACUCGGACGGAGCGAGACGAGCCAAGAAACCACCUCACUUUGAGUUUUCCAGCGCUCUGCAUACUAACAGCGUUACGUAAUUAUACAGUUGUACAAAUGACCGGGCUGCGCCAAAACCCGCAUACUACCGCACUAAACACCGUAUGUGGCGUAGUAUUUUCCACACUGUUUAGUAGGGUAGUGUGCGGUGUUACACUGUACUCCGUGAUUUAACACUCGGAAAAGUUCGAGCUCUGAGAGAACAGAGACGUUUAAAAGGGGAAGCGCGUCGGGACUGAAAGUUGGAGACUUUCGAAAACAGUGAAGAAGACUGACGAACAUGGCGAGGGUCGCUUUUAGAGAACGGCGUCUUAAUUACCUGCUUGAAAAGGGCGCAGAAAAGUCCGAGGCGAGCCGCUAAACAGCGCGGGCUGAACAGGAAAGAGGCAGCGAGCGGAAAAAGGCACUGAACACCGAGUUCAGUUGUUCACAGAAGUUGGCGGAAAGCGAUGCUCAAACUCCGGUGAGUGUGGAAUAUUUAUGAUACAGUGCUGCACGUUCUCCAUGACUGUUUAUCUCCGAAUUGGAAAUUUUCAGUUUAGGUUUCAGUUUAAAAGUGUUUCAAGUCUGCGCCGGGUUACCCGGAAAUGACCUCAUUAUAACGAGCGGACUAUUUCACUAUUUCAUGUAUAUUCAGUGUUUUUAAUCACUUAGCUUUUUUCAGUUACAGCCUCUAUUCGAACCCGGAAGUUUUUUGCGAGUGUGGAAAAUGUAAUGAUAUCACAAUGAAUCCUAUAUAUGAGAAUAAAUUUGCAUAAUCAUUUAUUUCUUCCUUCAUUUAGAGAACGCUUACUAAUGAGUUCAUUUUGUGGCUUCUGCUGCCUCUCUUCUGAAUGUAACCGGAAGUCAGUAAUGUCUGUAGGCCUGCAGAUGUUCUGCAGUUGCAUUAUCUGCCCUGCUAUGUGCCCUUUUGCGAUGGUUUUCUUCUGCUUCAGAGGACAGGGUGUUCUUCACUUACAAACGAAACGAAUGAUCUUAUGUUAUUCCAAGCAGAGUUAGAAAGUUGUAGAACAGGCUACUGUAUAUGAAAGAAAGACAUACCACUAUAAGCAUUUUUGAUUUGCAGUAGUCUGCAUGUUUAACAUAGACAAUAUAACAGUAGUAUAGGCUUUUUAUGCCUUGUGAGAAUAGAAAGAGUGGGACUGUAUGUCAUUUGUUAUUGUAAGUCAAAUAGUGGACUCCCUCUGAGUAUGGAAAGUUGGCUUUCUUGGGAGUGUUCCCAUGGAGAUAGGCACACUUCCUGUCUCAGCUUAGGAAUGAGGGAGUCUAGCUUUUCUGAACUGCUUACUCUAACUCUUUUCUCUUUAAUUAUUUUAGUUGAGGCUACAUGUGGGGGUGUGAUCUAUUAACACCACAAUCAGGAGUUACAAGGUGCUCAUUUUGGUCACUUGUGAUGAAGGCUUAUGUUGUUGCAGCACCAGAAACUGGCCUUCCACUUGCAGCAAAUCGAGCGGGCACUUGGGACUCCAAAAUUAAACAUUUUGCCCAGCUUUCUUUUGCUUCUCUUCUGUCAUGGGACAAAGUACUCCUCAGUGCAUACAGCAAAUGACCUCUGAGAGUUAGUUAGCUCUGUUAAUCAGUGUAUAGGUGACAUGGAUGACUUGUUCUGUUACUGCGCAUUUCGUGCCUGGAAUACGGCCUCUGUGCUUAAGCGCGAGAAUGAGAGUACGAAAGUGUGACCUCUCACAAGGUCAGAGAGCCUUUCGCUCAUCUGAUCUUCGCUUAAGGCAUGUGUUGGUUCUUGUGGGAAGGAGAUGAAGUGGAGAGAACAAACAAGUGAAUAGAAAUGUGCAUGUGUGUGUUAUGUAGAGAGAAAGGGCAAAAAUUCAGCAUUUGUUUGUUAUUCAUUAACAUACUUGGUGAUUAGUUGGUACUUUUAUAUAUAGCUACAGAUUAAACUUAGUUUGUUGUCACAAAAGUUUAUAACCUAAAAUUUAUAACCUUUGCCUUUUAAUAGGUGAUACCAGGAUGAGCAUAAAUUUCAAGAAACUACAGUGGAGAAAUGUGGUUUGAGAGUGAUUUAAGGAAGAAUGCUUUGAUGAGGAGGCAAGAAUCAAUAAAAUGAUCCACACAUAUCAGAAAGUACAGGGAGAUCACAGGAGCCGGAGCAUCAGGUCUCAUAACCCAGCACUAUUUAUGGUUCUUCACUUUUACAACAUGCUCAUUGCUUUCUCUGAUCUGUGCAUCUGUUUGAUAUUGCUAAGGUUAUAGGGAUAGAAAAAGAAACAGACAAAAGGAGUUAGAAAAGUAGAUUCAGGCCAGAAGGUGUUGAACUGUUGUACACACAGAGUUGGAUCUCUGCGACCUUGAUGUGACUUUGUUGUAGCUGAGGAAGGAUUGUACAUCACAUCAUCUUCUUUCAGUCCAAUGUCUAAAAGCUCCAUGUUUGAAUGACCUUAAUAAAGUGCUCUUCUGGAAACGGUGUCCUGUGAUGGACAGUGAGCUAGGACAAUCAAGGAAUGGAGAAGAGCAGUGCAAGGUGAGACUGGAGCGAGAAUAAAGUACAGUAGAAUUAGUCCGUAAUACCACUGACAUUAAUGUCCGCUAACUGAGGGACCAAUCAGAGUAAGAGCGCACUUGAGGAAGCAGUGGGUCUCUGGACGCUGCUUCCUGCUCUUUCUCUCCUUCACCCCUCCCCCUCUGCUGUACUGUGUGCUAUACGGUUGCCAAGUGCUAAGAAUCUGCGGAAUGUGGGAUUGCAGUGUUCUGAUAAAGUUUGCUUUGUUCCCGCCGUGCCCUGAACACUGGGAGGGAUAUGAGACCCUGGGAAUUUCAGUGAAGCACUGUAACACACAGACACACAUCCCUAUAUCCAACAUGGCUAUUCUCACAUGUGCCUCAGUCACUUGACAUGGCACACAGUAGAAGAACAGCUGGAGUUCUGUCAGACGUACUGUAUAUAAGGUGCUAUUAAAAAAAAAAAAAAAAAAAAAAAAAAAAAAGGCCAGAAAGUUUAGACUCAAGGAACCAUUUUUUUAACACUGUUUUUGAUCUAACCUUAUUAUUCUGACAAAAAUAGCUUGAAUACGUAAAUAAAUUUCCCCACAGACUCAUUAACUGCACUACUGUGACUGUAUUGUUUUUCAGAAUUUCUGUAUAAUAUAUAUGUAAUGGAUGGAGUUUAUUAUGAGAAACAGUGUCAAAAUAUUUUCUGUGAUUAUUUCCUCCCCUACAGGAAUUUGAGGUUUCUUCUAUAAGCGAAGGCUUGAUGACAAAGAAAAUACUCAGGGAACUUGAGAACAUCUCAGACUGCCCCUGAGUCUCAGAUUACUAUGUUGAAAUGCACACAUCACCAGUGUGAUGGGUGUCCUGCAUAUACAGAGGACAAAAUGGAGGCCAGAGGUGGCUGGAGGUCAUGGUCCAUCAUGACCUCACAGAAGUCACAUUCACAGGAUGGAACUGACUUCCAAAAAAAAAAAAAAAAAAGAUGUAGGGAGUGUGAAAAUGCAAGCUAAGCUCUUCAAGCAUUGGGGACAUAACAGUGCCACGUAAACAAGAAGAUGCGUGCUUUAUGGUUGGGACUCGCAAAGGUGUGUGUGUUUGUGUGAGAUGAAGUUUCUGACCUGGAGGGACAUUUUGCGUGUGAAGCUUCAGCAGAUUUGACCUCUCUGGGAGUGUCAUGGCAAAACAAACGGCUUCCACUGACUCCUCCUUUUAUGUUUUCAAUGUAAAUACAGCAUUUCUGCUCCCCAUGGCAAGCAGCCCUCACAAUGUCUGAUGGAAAAACAGCAUCAGAUAUGCAGGUGCACUAAACACUGCCACAAGGACAGUCUCUGACACAAGCACUGCCUACCUUCACACAAGCUGACCUUUUUCCUCAGUAGUCACUUACAACUAAUAAUCACUGUAUGUAAUGCUCUGGGUUAAGAGUUAAGAGUUACACACCAGGUUUACUAGUUAAAAAAAAAAAGCGGAAUGUGUGGCAACAAGAAAGAACAAACAAUGCCCGGCUGGCAGUAUGGGCUACUGUAAACAUCCUUGACUGGAAGCUGAUGCUUAAGAUGGAGCUUUCAGUCGGAUGUUUGCAGCAGCCAACUGCCAUUACCUCUUCUCCUAAUGCUUGAUAAAGAGUGGAACGAGUGACGUACAGAACAGACUCACCGUCAAAUAAACUUUCUCACUAUCUUCAGCUGAUGAAAACUAAUUAAUGCACUUUUACAUCAAGAUGGAGACAGUGCAUUUGACAGUGCCUAAUUUUAAACCAUCAAAACUUUUUUUUUUUUAAACUGGUGAUGUCAGAACAUGUAUUUUUAUGUCUAUGAUGAUUUUAUGCUAUAUGUAAAUAAGGAGGGAUUUACUCAUUUAUGCUCCUAAGCUAGUGAAAUUACAUUUGUAUUCUCAUUUUAAUACAAGCACGUGUGAAAUGGUGAUCAAGAUUUAGAGCUGUUCCUUUGGCACCGCAAGUGGAUCUUCAGAUUGGGAGCUGUGUGAGUUAGCUGUGUUUUGUGUCCUCAGGAGGGUUGAAAUGGAAAGAAUAGGGGCAGAGGGACACAGCAGUUGGUCCUGGAUAUGGCUGAAGUGCUGACUCCAGAGGCUGAACGUCAACCUCAGGAGCCGAGGCACGCCAUUUGUGUCAGAUUAGCACCUCAAGGCCUGUAAAACACAUUCCGGCCUGGCACCUGUGGAGAGCUAAAACCCAGAUUAGUGCCAUUGCUUCUGUGCUUACUCUCCCCUUCUCACUGUUUCAAAGGCCUGUAACACGGAGUUGAGUAUCGCAAUCCCUUUUCCCACCUCCUGCGUGAAGUCUCCCACAGGGAGUGCAGUGACGCUCACAGAAACGUGAUCCUGUAGCACAGCUCUGCCUGGCAAUGGGAAAUUUUUCGUAGAGAAAAGGGUUACAGUGGGGUAAUGUUUCAGCUCCUUUUCAUACGGUUUUGUCAAUAAUGUGGCCUUAUUAGUUAGGCUUGACUCUGAUGUAUAAUAUGCAGUUGUGAGUUACUGACAGUUGAGUAAAACUUGUAGAUUUUACUGAGUUCAGGGUUUACUCAAGGCUUGAUUGCAGUAGAUAAAGUCACUUCUUGUUUGGUAUUCAGUUCCUGUUUCUCCCAGUAGUACAGUUUAGUGAAUAAUUUCCUAGCAUUGUUGCAUAUAAUGUUGGAUAAUUGUAUAAGUUACAGUGCUGUGCUUUUUUGCUUUCUGGGUUAAACUAACCUUAUUUAUUCUACAUGCUACAAUUGAAUAAAAUUAUUAUAAUUUUUUUUAAUGAGUGUCCAGUUUCAGCACUCUGGACAGCUCUUUUAGGGUAUGACAGUAGAGUCACCCAGUCCCAGGGGAGAGAUAGAAAGUGCCCAGGAAGGUUAGCUGACUGAUGGGAAUCAUCUGCAUUCAUUAUCUCCUCAGGAACUCCUCAGCGUUUUUACUGAUUUGUGACUUUCUCAUGUACUCCACCAACUGAACUCCAUUUUUAACUGCAACUGACACAAACAUUUACAAAGUGAUAAGAAGGAAAGGUACCAAUGGGAGAACCGAUAAAAUGUUUGUACAGUUCAACAAACUCGCUUAAAAGCAGACUCACGAUAAGCACAGCUGUAUGAUUUAAUCUGCCAUAAUGUAAUAUACCAGCAGUUCCUAUUUACCAUGUAAAGGGUGUUAAGAAGUUAAGGGGAGCAUUUCAAAGGAACUAAUCACCAGUAAAAGCUGGAUGAACUGGAGCUGAAGAUCACUGGUGGAGAUUGUGUAUUUCAAAUAUUAAAAUCAGUAUGCUGCUGUGGACUUGUUCAUUUUUCCACACAUUGUGUUAUGUCUAUCAUAAAAGUAUAGCUGGAACACUUGAACAAUAAAAGCAACUGCCAUAUUGCUGUUACUGUUUUUUUUUCUAUUGCUCUUGAGCUCUGGUUCUAUGUCUACAUCCUUUUCCCUUAAUUAAUGCUGCUUCCUUAAGUUUUACAGAUUCAUUCCAACCUCUCUCUAUCUUUCCUCAUUUACAGUUUACCAUAUACUGCCUCUCUCUAUAUGACCUUUAGUUCCUGUCCAUGCCCAUAGGCCUGUUCCAUGCUUGAUGACUUUCCCACAACAAUCACUGCAUGCAUUAAGAGAGGAGACAGAAAGCAAGAGAAAACUCUUGUCCACUAAGAGGAAAUAGGCCUCAAGAAUGUGAAAAGCUCCAAUUCAGGCGGGUUCACAGGGUCUGGGAGUGGCCACAUCCUCAAGAGGCGGGGGGGACUUGGACUGGAGCCAUGAGAGCUACGCAGGCCAGGCAGAUGACGUAGGUCCGUGUGAACACCCAAAGCCUUCCCCCCCCUCCUUUUUCUAUUUCUACAGUGGCCUUGCCCUUUAUGUACCCCCCCACCCCCCAAAAAAAUGCAGCUUGUGCCUCCCUAAGGCCCCUAAGAACAGAGCUCAGGUGGCCAGUCUGCUGAUGAAUGCAGCUCUAUUAAUAGAAAGUGCUGCUUAUCUCAAAGGUGAAUGACAAACAUUGAGCAGAUUUCUCACAGGUCUGAAAAAGCUGUGCGUUCAAAAACUUCAGUUCCACUUCUUUCUUUUUAGCAAAAGCUUCCAUUUGAUGCUCUGACCAUCAAAAGCUUAUUACGGUUAUUUCAGAACAGAGUGUUUUUGCACUCUCUCAUCAUGGCAUGACCAUGGAGCAGUCAGGUAAACUCAGACUGUAGGUGUCUCUACGCUGUGCACUUUUCCACACCAGGCCAGGUCAUCUCGGCUUCACCCAGGAGCCCUGUGAGCCUCAGGGAAUGUAAACAUCCUACACUCUCAGCUGGAGCCAAGACAAGGCCGGGAGUGGGGUGUUUGCGCUCUCUGGCUUACGGAUGCCGUGGCAGCACAGAGGAAACGGAAACAGCACCACGGAGGAAACCAGCUUCUCUGCCCUCAUAUCAGUUCAGCUCAUUGGAUACAUCCGGAGGCUUUCAACGUCUGGUACGUCAACUCAGUGACCUGUUAUAAUCUUGAUGUUUCUCCAUUUCUGUGUGGCUUCGUCCCUUGUGAAUUGUGAAACAUCUUCAAGAUUAUAACAUUGCCUUUAGAUACUUCUACUAGACAUUCAGAAUAACCUUGAUGACUGAAAACCUUCAUACACAACAAAAGGCUUCUGUUCUCUCUUUGUGUCUAGAGGCUAGUGUGUGUAGGUGGGUGUGGUUUGUAGACCUCUGAGGAAGUGGAGCUCCAUUGUAAGAAUUGCUGCUGGGUCAGGAGGUGAGGCUGAAGGCUCUUUUUGAAGCCCCUAACCCAGCAGGGUGGGACAACUCCAAAUGCUUCCAAGUACUCCUGUCCAGACUAAGCUGUUGUCACGGCGACAAAGUGGCCCAAGAGGAAAUGGCUAUUUAUACCCACCAAGUGCAGAAAGAGAGGCACCCUUCCAAUGGGCGGCAUUUGACUCACAUCCUCCAGCAAUCUGAGUUUGGGCCUUCGCGUGGACCCACUUUCUCAUCCGUCGUCCAGUAUUUAAAAAAAAAAAAAAAAAAAAAAUACUUCUACCAUCUUGCAGUGUUUUACAUACUGAUGUUUUGGGAAACCAUGCUACACAUAUAUGCCAACACUCAAGCAACUUUUGAUCCUUGAGAUAUUACUGGGCUCACUCUCCAUAUGCAGUAUCUUGUUGUAUAUGCUGUCCUGUUGAUUUGUUUCCUCUUGCCCUUCUGUCCCACAGUGACACUCAGGAUGCAUGCCUGGUGGUCUGUGGUUCCCACCCUCUCCCACUGCAAUUAUUUUGGUCUACUUUUAUUCUGUGACAUCAUUACAGCAGCUGCUCCUUCUUAAACCACAAGGUGGCGGACUGUCUCUAAAGAUGGGAGAUGCAUUUAUAGAACCGGCUGUGCAAACACUUAACAGAAAAUUAUUUUGACAUGGGUGGCUUUGAAAUGUAGCCAAAGACUGAACACCGAAAGUGAACAAGCUACAAGAAAUCAGCAUUUAUUCUGCUGUUUGAUUUCAGUUGCAUUACUUGAGUUUUUUCCCCAAAAGUUAUUUGAAUCAAAGUCUUUAAGGUAAUACACAAAAGUUUGUUUAGACCAUAUCAAAGUUCCUAACAACUUAAAAAGUCCUGAAGGUAGCACUCCUGUAUUAGAUGAUGGGGCAGACAGGUGAGAUGGUCUUAUGGCAUAAGUUCCUAAUCUACAGUAUGAACCAUCUUCUUACAAAGAAUAAGCAUAAGUUAUUUUUUUUAAUUUAAUUUAAUUUUUUUAUUUUUUAUUUUUUUUGUUCCCCCCCUUUUUUUUGUGGCCCUUGAGUCCGGAUUGCUGUGUGUUUUUCUGAUCGUUAUAUCUGUCCUCUGCAGGUGAGCAGAAUUCGGGGAAUUGGAGUAAUGAAGUGAUGUUUACAUGGCAAGCUAGGAAAAAAGAAGAAAACAUUACAAUCCUGGGCAGUGCAUUUGACACACAUUGUUCGACAUUGUACACUGCUGAAUAACUUGUAAGCAAUUUGGAUGUAUAAACAAGAACCUCAUAAUAAAAUUGUAAUGCCAAGUCAGAAAGGUAAUUUUUAAAUAUUUAUGACAAUUGUUUACUGGUUAAAAGUUCAUUGUUUUUCUGUAGGGGAGUUUGCAACAUUUCAGGUUAUUACAAUCAUUUACAGAUGCUAAAGCAAAGGUUUACAGUACCUGAAUCACUUAAGCAAAGUUAUUGUUGGAAUAUGCAAUGUACCAUUAUAGUACUAGUAUUUAAUUUAAAUGCUAUGUGUUGUAAUGUAUAUAUUUUGUUUAAUAAAUCAUUCUUUUUUUUUUUCAACCA